GACGGGUAUCCGGCCUGAGAGGGUGAACGGACACACUGGAGCUGAGACACGGUCCAGACUCCUACGGGAGGCAGCAGUAGGGAAUAUUGCUCAAUGGGGGAAACCCUGAAGCAGCAACGCCGCGUGGAGGAUGAAGGUUUUAGGAUUGUGAGCUCCUUUUGUUAAGAAGAUUAUGGCGGGAGCAGACGCCCGAGUGGCGUCCACC
Molecule: ribosomal RNA, 205 nt
Filed under: uncultured Helicobacter sp.
Lineage: Bacteria; Pseudomonadati; Campylobacterota; Epsilonproteobacteria; Campylobacterales; Helicobacteraceae
Description: partial 16S ribosomal RNA
Rfam family: Bacterial small subunit ribosomal RNA
Source: RNAcentral